GACGAACGCUGGCGGCGUGCUUAACACAUGCAAGUCGAACGAUGAAGAAGAGACACGCGAACUUCGGUUCAAAUUUCACUUCGGAUUAGUGGCAGACGGGUGAGUAACGCGCGAGCAACCUACCUCUUACAAAGGGAUAGCCUCGGGAAACCGUGAUUAAUACCAUAUGACACAUUCAUAAGGCAUCUUAAGAAUGUUAAAGCUACGGCGGUAAGAGAUGGGCUCGCGUCCCAUUAGCUAGUUGGUGAGGUAACGGCCCACCAAGGCGACGAUGGGUAACCGGCCUGAGAGGGUGAACGGUCACAUUGGAACUGAGACACGGUCCAAACUCCUACGGGAGGCAGCAGUGGGGAAUAUUGCACAAUGGAGGGAACUCUGAUGCAGCGACGCCGCGUGAGCGAUGAAGGAAUUCGUGUCGUAAAGCUCUGUUCUAUGGGAAGAAAAGGACUGUACCAUAGGAGAAAGCCCCGGCUAAAUACGUG
RNAcentral lists this ribosomal RNA (482 nucleotides) under uncultured bacterium. RNAcentral's name for it is "partial 16S ribosomal RNA". It matches the Rfam family "Bacterial small subunit ribosomal RNA", at positions 28 to 507 of the family's 1533-position model. The record is from RNAcentral.